AUGGUCCUCGCCGCCCUCGCUGGCCUGCUCGCGAGCAAUGAAAAGCCGCGGCGAGGUGGCUCGGCAUCGGGGCGGCUGAAAGCAAAGAACCGACAUCGUCUGGAAGGCUAUUGCAUGCUCUACUCCGACUAUUUCGCCGAUGCUCCACUGCACGGUGACAAAGUAUUUCGGCGCCGUUAUCGGAUGAGCCGAAAGCUUUUCCUCAGGAUUGUGAAUUUCAUACGGGAGUUCGACAGCUACUUCAAGUGCAAGGAGGAUUGCACCGGCAAACUUGGAUUAACCUCAAUCCAGAAGUGCAGGACAGCUAUGAGGAUGCUUGCAUACGGAGCUCCCGGUGAUUCACUCGACCACUAUGGGCGCAUGGCCGAGUCCACGACCAUUGAGUGUUUCUACAAGUUCUGCAAGGUAGUGCUGGCAGUGUUUGGACCGCAAUACUUGCGAACACCCAAUACGGAAGACAUUGCUCGGAUCCUAGCACAGAAUGCAGCAAGAGGAUUUCCUGGAAUGUUUGAAAGGAUCGACUGCAUGCAUUGGAAAUGGAAGAACUGCCCAUUUGCUUGGCAGGGGAUGUACAAAGGCGCGAAAGGCGGUUGCGGUGUGGUACUUGAGGCGGUGGACACACAAGACCUCUGGAUUUGGCACUCCUUCUUUGGUAUGCCAGGAACUCACAAUGACAUCAACGUGCUGCAGUGCUCCCCUGUCUUUGCCAAGCUUGUUGAAGGUCAUUCUUCUCCGGUGAACUUCGAGGUCAACGGGCGGCACUACAACAAGGGGUACUACCUAGCUGAUGGCAUCUAUCCGAGAUGGUCUACAUUUGUGAAGACUGUCUCAAACGUUGUGCCAGGAUGCAAGAAGUCCCACUUUGCGAAGGUUCAGGAGGCUUGCAGGAAGGAUGUCGAGCGGGCAUUUGGUGUGCUCCAAUCUCGAUUUGCUGUUGUCCGAUACCCUGGUCAGACAUGGUCGAAAGAUCAAAUGUGGGAGAUCAUGACUUGUUGUGUCAUUUUGCACAACAUGAUCAUUGAGAGCGAGCAGGAAGAGCCAGUGUUUAACACUGAACCAUAUUACAGGCAGGGUCCUCUUGCACAAGUUGAUCAUCAGCUACCGGCAACCUGGAUUGCCUUCCUCAAUAUGCGUCAGGAGAUCCGAGACCCACAGGUGCAUCAAUAA
RNAcentral lists this ribosomal RNA (1167 nucleotides) under Triticum aestivum (bread wheat). RNAcentral's name for it is "partial small subunit ribosomal RNA". The record is from RNAcentral. Lineage: Eukaryota; Viridiplantae; Streptophyta; Magnoliopsida; Poales; Poaceae.